GACGAACGCUGGCGGCGUGCUUAACACAUGCAAGUCGAACGGAAAGGCCCUGCUUUUGUGGGGUGCUCGAGUGGCGAACGGGUGAGUAACACGUGAGUAACCUGCCCUUGACUUUGGGAUAACUUCAGGAAACUGGGGCUAAUACCGGAUAGGAGCUCCUGCUGCAUGGUGGGGGUUGGAAAGUUUCGGCGGUUGGGGAUGGACUCGCGGCUUAUCAGCUUGUUGGUGGGGUAGUGGCUUACCAAGGCUUUGACGGGUAGCCGGCCUGAGAGGGUGACCGGCCACAUUGGGACUGAGAUACGGCCCAGACUCCUACGGGAGGCAGCAGUGGGGAAUAUUGCACAAUGGGCGGAAGCCUGAUGCAGCAACGCGGCGUGCGGGAUGACGGCCUUCGGGUUGUAAACCGCUUUCGCCUGUGACGAAGCGUGAGUGACGGUAAUGGGUAAAGAAGCGCCGGCUAACUACGUG
RNAcentral lists this ribosomal RNA (468 nucleotides) under uncultured bacterium. RNAcentral's name for it is "partial 16S ribosomal RNA". It matches the Rfam family "Bacterial small subunit ribosomal RNA", at positions 28 to 507 of the family's 1533-position model. The record is from RNAcentral.